RNAcentral lists this ribosomal RNA (397 nucleotides) under uncultured bacterium. RNAcentral's name for it is "bacterial SSU rRNA". It matches the Rfam family "Bacterial small subunit ribosomal RNA", at positions 64 to 507 of the family's 1533-position model. The record is from RNAcentral.
GAACGAGACCUUCGGGUCUAGUGGCGCACGGGUGCGUAACGCGUGGGAAUCUGCCCUUGGGUUCGGAAUAACAGUUAGAAAUGACUGCUAAUACCGGAUGGUGACGUAAGUCCAAAGAUUUAUCGCCCAAGGAUGAGCCCGCGUAGGAUUAGCUUGUUGGUGAGGUAAAAGCUCACCAAGGCGACGAUCCUUAGCUGGUCUGAGAGGAUGAUCAGCCACACUGGGACUGAGACACGGCCCAGACUCCUACGGGAGGCAGCAGUGGGGAAUAUUGGACAAUGGGCGAAAGCCUGAUCCAGCAAUGCCGCGUGAGUGAUGAAGGCCUUAGGGUUGUAAAGCUCUUUUACCCGGGAUGAUAAUGACAGUACCGGGAGAAUAAGCUCCGGCUAACUCCGUG